UACGUAGGGGGCAAGCGUUGUCCGGAUUUAUUGGGCGUAAAGAGCGUGUAGGCGGCCUGAAAGGUCAGCUGUGAAAACUCGAGGCUCAACCUCGAGACGUCGGUUGAAACCAUCUGGCUAGAGUCCGGAAGAGGAGAGUGGAAUUCCCGGUGUAGCGGUGAAAUGCGCAGAUAUCGGGAAGAACACCUAUGGCGAAGGCAGCUCUCUGGGACGGUACUGACGCUGAGACGCGAAAGCGUGGGGAGCGAACAGG
RNAcentral lists this ribosomal RNA (253 nucleotides) under uncultured bacterium. RNAcentral's name for it is "partial 16S ribosomal RNA". It matches the Rfam family "Bacterial small subunit ribosomal RNA", at positions 524 to 776 of the family's 1533-position model. The record is from RNAcentral.